ACGGAGGACGGUCGUGGGUUUAAUUCGCUGCUACACGAAGAACUUACCUGGUUUGACAUAUAGGUUGUAGGGAACUGAAAGGGACCGACCCUUCGGGGAGCCUAUACAGGUGUUGCAUGGCUGUCGUCAGCUCGUGUCGUGAGAUGUUCGGUUAAGUCCGCUAACGAGCGCAACCCUCGUCGUAUGUUAUAUGUGUCAUACGAGACUGCCGGUAAAAGCCGGAGGAAGGUGAGGAUGAUGUCAAGUCAGCAUGACCUUUAUAUCCAGGGCUACACACACGCUACAAUGGUCUGUACAAUGGGUAGCCAAGCCGCGAGGCGGAGCCAAUCCUGAAAGCAGGCCUCAGUUCGGAUUGCAGGCUGCAAUUCGCCUGCAUGAAGUCGGAAUCGCUAGUAAUCGCAGGUCAGCAUACUGCGGUGAAUACGUUCCCGGGCCUU
RNAcentral lists this ribosomal RNA (437 nucleotides) under uncultured Anaerolineaceae bacterium. RNAcentral describes it as "bacterial SSU rRNA". It matches the Rfam family "Bacterial small subunit ribosomal RNA", at positions 929 to 1382 of the family's 1533-position model. Lineage: Bacteria; Bacillati; Chloroflexota; Anaerolineae; Anaerolineales; Anaerolineaceae. The record is from RNAcentral.